RNAcentral lists this ribosomal RNA (425 nucleotides) under uncultured Chroococcales cyanobacterium. RNAcentral describes it as "bacterial SSU rRNA". It matches the Rfam family "Bacterial small subunit ribosomal RNA", at positions 355 to 794 of the family's 1533-position model. Lineage: Bacteria; Bacillati; Cyanobacteriota; Cyanophyceae; Chroococcales. The record is from RNAcentral.
UGGGGAAUUUUCCGCAAUGGGCGAAAGCCUGAUGGAGCAAUACCGCGUGGAGGAAGAAGGAUCGUGGUCCGUAAACUCCUUUUCUUAAAGAAGAAACAAUGACGGUACUUAAGGAAUAAGCACCGGCUAACUCUGUGCCAGCAGCCGCGGUAAUACAGGGGGUGCAAGCGUUGUCCGGAAUGAUUGGGCGUAAAGCAUCUGUAGGUGGUUUUUAAAGUCGACCGUUAAAUCCCAGAGCUCAACUUUGGCAGGGCAGUCGAGCACUUAGAAACUUGAGUACGGUAGGGGUAGAGGGAAUUCUUAGUGGAGCGGUGAAAUGCACAGAGAUUAGGAAGAACACCAGUGGCGAAAGCGCUCUACUGGGCCGUGACUGACACUGAGAGAUGAAAGUUGGGGGAGCGAAAGGGAUUAGAUACCCCUGUAGU